Molecule: ribosomal RNA, 497 nt
Filed under: uncultured bacterium
Lineage: Bacteria
Description: partial 16S ribosomal RNA
Rfam family: Bacterial small subunit ribosomal RNA
Source: RNAcentral
GAUGAACGCUGGCGGCGUGCCUAAUACAUGCAAGUCGAGCGAACGGACGAGAAGCUUGCUUUUCUGAUGUUAGCGGCGGACGGGUGAGUAACACGUGGAUAACCUACCUAUAAGACUGGGAUAACUUCGGGAAACCGGAGCUAAUACCGGAUAAUAUUUUGAACCGCAUGGUUCAAAAGUGAAAGACGGUCUUGCUGUCACUUAUAGAUGUAUCCGCGCUGCAUUAGCUAGUUGGUAAGGUAACGGCUUACCAAGGCAACGAUGCAUAGCCGACCUGAGAGGGUGAUCGGCCACACUGGAACUGAGACACGGUCCAGACUCCUACGGGAGGCAGCAGUAGGGAAUCUUCCGCAAUGGGCGAAAGCCUGACGGAGCAACGCCGCGUGAGUGAUGAAGGUCUUCGGAUCGUAAAACUCUGUUAUUAGGGAAGAACAUAUGUGUAAGUAACUGUGCACAUCUUGACGGUACCUAAUCAGAAAGCCACGGCUAACUACGUG